AUGCCUAGGAAUCUGCCUGGUAGUGGGGGAUAACGCUCGGAAACGGACGCUAAUACCGCAUACGUCCUACGGGAGAAAGCAGGGGACCUUCGGGCCUUGCGCUAUCAGAUGAGCCUAGGUCGGAUUAGCUAGUUGGUGAGGUAAUGGCUCACCAAGGCGACGAUCCGUAACUGGUCUGAGAGGAUGAUCAGUCACACUGGAACUGAGACACGGUCCAGACUCCUACGGGAGGCAGCAGUGGGGAAUAUUGGACAAUGGGCGAAAGCCUGAUCCAGCCAUGCCGCGUGUGUGAAGAAGGUCUUCGGAUUGUAAAGCACUUUAAGUUGGGAGGAAGGGCAGUAACCUAAUACGUUAUUGUUUUGACGUUACCGACAGAAUAAGCACCGGCUAACUCUGUGCCAGCAGCCGCGGUAAUACAGAGGGUGCAAGCGUUAAUCGGAAUUACUGGGCGUAAAGCGCGCGUAGGUGGUUUGUUAAGUUGAAUGUGAAAUCCCCGGGCUCAACCUGGGAACUGCAUCCAAAACUGGCAAGCUAGAGUAGGGCAGAGGGUGGUGGAAUUUCCUGUGUAGCGGUGAAAUGCGUAGAUAUAGGAAGGAACACCAGUGGCGAAGGCGACCACCUGGGCUCAUACUGACACUGAGGUGCGAAAGCGUGGGGAGCAAACAGGAUUAG
This 672-nucleotide ribosomal RNA is filed under the name Pseudomonas sp. 36Hsp44e. RNAcentral's name for it is "bacterial SSU rRNA". It matches the Rfam family "Bacterial small subunit ribosomal RNA", at positions 113 to 781 of the family's 1533-position model. The record is from RNAcentral. Lineage: Bacteria; Pseudomonadati; Pseudomonadota; Gammaproteobacteria; Pseudomonadales; Pseudomonadaceae.